RNAcentral lists this long non-coding RNA (3354 nucleotides) under Sus scrofa (pig). RNAcentral describes it as "lncRNA (ENSSSCG00015019736.1)". The record is from RNAcentral. Lineage: Eukaryota; Metazoa; Chordata; Mammalia; Artiodactyla; Suidae.
AAAUGUGGCUAGUGUGACUGAGGAACUGGCUAUUAUUUCAUUUUAAGUAGAAAUUUACAUUUAUCAAGCUACAGGUGGCUAGCGGCUACCAUACUGGACAGCAGAGGUCAAGCACAUGAGGAAGACUGGACUUGGCUUGGCAUUGAUGCAACUGUGUGACCUUGGGCAAGUCAUGCCACUCCUCUGCGCUCGCGGUUGCCUCUUCUGUAAAAUACGGGCUGUUGGUAAAACGAAGCCCGCACAUGUUCAUAUAAUUAUUUAGUGUUUAUCGAGCGUGAGGCUGAACUCUGGCCUCUGUACCCUGACACAGAAUUGAAUCUCACAGACAGAGUUUUGGGUGAAGGCAAAAAGGAGAACUUAAUUGCUUUGCCAGGCAAAGGGGACCACAGCGGACUAAUGCCGCCAAGACUGUGUGUCCCAACCUGGAGAAGGUAGUAGGGAGUCUUCUAGUAACAGUUCAAGGUCUUAUAAGGACGGAGAGUGUGAUCAGCUCGUGGCGUGGUUGGUGGUGAGGCCAUGGGAGUUGGCAUCAUCACCCUUCUGGUUCCACCUGCUCAGGGGUCUCUGUGUUUGUGGGCAGCACACAGUUAACGUCUUCCAUCUGGUGGGGGUUUCGCCAUCUGCAAAACAGCUCAAAGGACAUGACCGAGAAUAUUAUCUACGGUCCUUGAGAAGAACUAAAGGUCCUUGACUUUUAGUGGCGAAAGUAUUAUUAUUUCAUCUUGCUUGGCUCUUUUCCUUUCUGUAUUUUCUCAUUUCUCUGAUUAAAUUUAUUCUUUGACUAAAGUUGUUCUGCAGACAAUAGGGUGGCGAGGGCAUGGCUGGGGGUCCAUUCUGGGAAGGCCCCAUAGGGUGCUCAGUGAGUAUUAGAUGCCAGCUCUCCAGACUCUUAAGCUGCCUCCUAUGAGGUGAGAAAAUGCGCCCAGCAGGGACCGGAAGUCAUUGAUCUUCGUAUCCCAAAUGUCUGGCUCAACAGCCUGGCACAAAGUAUGUAUUCAGUAACUGUCUCAUGGACAUAUUACGGAAUGCAUUACUUUGAUUAAUUUAUUAGUCCUCGUGCCUGCCAAUGAGGACUUUAAUUCAUUUGAUCCAGGGUACACGGGAUGGGAGUAACGGGAGUUGGCCACCUACUCCUCCUUCAAAGUUAAGAAGCAUCUGGUGUUCCUGUUGUGGCUGAGUGGGAAUGAACCCAAAUAGAAUCCAUGAGGACAUGGGUUCGAUCCCUGGCCUUGUGAAAUGGGUCAAGGAUCUGGCGUAGGUCGCAGAUGAGGCUCGGAUUCUGUGUUGGCUGCAGCUGUGGUGUGGCUGUGGUGUAGCCUGAGAACCUUCAUAUGCUGCGGGUAUGACCCUAAAAAGACAAAAACACAAAACCAAGUUAGGAAGCAUUGUCCUUUUCCAGGCCUGGCUGGCUGGAAGCAGGUCAGUCCCCCACACUCAUGCCAGACCUGUGAGAAGACAGAGGCCAGGCUGACGGGGGCAGGAAAUGGUGGGUGGAGCUGGAUUCACAACUUGACUCAGCCUCCUGAGAACUCAGCCCAGAAGCCAGGAGUGCUCCCUCGGGGGACAAUGAGAAGGUCUAUUGGGAGAGAGAUGAGGAGAGGGAACCAGUGACCAUUUACCCAAAGAGCAAAGCCAUCUGGCUGCAUCGGCCUCAAAGACAGUAUAGCUCAGUGAAUGUCCCAUUUGUUGUCACAAACCUGUGUCGAGAACACAUAUUUGGUACUUUGAAAGCCCAUCUGCCCCCCCCCCUGGCCCCCUGAGCGGGUACCCCUCGAGGCAGACUCUGAAUCCUGUCUGCAUCCUUAGUGACUGGCAACGCAGGGAUUGGGCGGAUGGGUGUAGAGCAGACAACAGCCCACCCCUGCCUCUAGGGCUCAUCAUCUUUCAGAGGAGACAGACACCCACCUAAAUGACAGGCACAGAUUCCAGCGCUCUGAGCUCUCCAGCAGAUAGGCAGACACCGGGCCGGCUGGGGAAGUGAGGGGAGAUGGGGAGAUGGGGCAACAGACUGCAGGUGGGAGGGAGAAGGGAUCUGAGGAAGCUCCUGGAGGAUUUAAGUCUGUCUUCCAAGAAGGGAGGGAAGCGUGGCUGAGAGAGAACGGGUGUGUACAAAGGCUUAGACGUGAGAGAGGACCGGUGGGCAGGGCAGACGGGCCUUGUGCAUGACGUCUUUGAGAAAAGAGGGUGGAGAUGAGACGGGAAACAACAGGUAUCAGGAUGUGAAGGGCAAGGGUAUUGACAUCUUAGAGUCCUGAGCUGCUCAGAUUCCGGAGUCCUAGGAAUCACCGGGGGACCUAAUUGCAGAUUCGGACUGAGUCGGUCUGAGGCGGAGCCUGAGAUUCUGAUUUCUAACAAACUCCAGCUAAUGCUGGUGCCACUAGUCUGUGGCUCAAAGCUACUUUGAACAGCAAUGGUUUAGGCAAUAGGGAGCCAUUGAAUGUUGUGAGUAGGGACAUGCUUAUAGUCUGAUUGGCUUCUUAGAAGAAUUACCCUAAAAGCUGUGAGCUGGCUUCAGCUGGGUAGAUGUAUUCAGACAGGGUGAGAGAUUUAUCUUUUUCUGUAUCUCCAACACCUAGGAUGGUGUCUGCUCAUAUCAGGUAAUCGAUACUCAUAUGUAAAGAAAUAAAUUAGCCAUUUAUGGUAGACUUUUAAGAGAGAAGACAGGAAGAAUAGAUGGAUCAAGUUAUCCCAGGCUGAUCAACCAAUUUAAAACACUCCUCAGGGCAACAGAUUGGGAAUAUGUGUUAAGGCAGAGGUUUCUUAAGUAGUUUUUGGCCAAGGGUCUGAUUGCUUAAAUAAAACCCUAAAUGGAGGCCCGAUGUGUGAAUCAAAUUGAAAAACAAUUAGGUGCCCUGGUGGGUACCAGGGUGGGGGCCCUGGAUCUGACACCCUACGCCUUCCCCUUUCUCCCGCUGACCUGCAGAUUCCCGCUGCAUCCUCAGACUCUGGAAAAUAUCAGGUGCCCCAAGAAGCCAGCCCAGCACCUCCCCUGCCCCAGGUUGGGUGAGGCCGCCCUUCUGCAAGAUUUUGCACGGGGGUUAUCUGUUUCUAGCUCAGUUUCCCCUGCUAUAGGGUGCAGUACUGCUAGAAAAGACCCUGAAAGACCACUUGAGAAUCCUCAUGGUUAGCACGGGGUCCUGGUCAGAGGAGGCACUUGGGGAAAGAUGAUGGGCAGGAGCAGACAGGUGACCCAGCAGGACCCACAGAAAGGGCUUGAGUUCCCAGUGCCCCAGACACAUAACUCUGUCCAUUCCAGGCAGCAAAAGUAGUGUGGGGAGCAGAGAUGUGGCGGAUGGAAUUGAGAUUUUAUUUUUUUAUGUUUUUUGCCUUUUGUCUUUUUUUUAGGGUCGAACC